UGAGGAAUUUUUCGCAAUGGGCGAAAGCCUGACGAAGCAAUGCCGCGUGCAGGAAGAAGGCCUGUGGGUCGUAAACUGCUUUUCUUAGAGAAGAAGUCCUGACGGUAUCUGGGGAAUAAGCACCGGCUAACCCUGUG
RNAcentral lists this ribosomal RNA (137 nucleotides) under uncultured bacterium. Its description in RNAcentral is "partial 16S ribosomal RNA". It matches the Rfam family "Bacterial small subunit ribosomal RNA", at positions 355 to 507 of the family's 1533-position model. The record is from RNAcentral.